Molecule: long non-coding RNA, 7338 nt
Organism: Myxocyprinus asiaticus (Chinese sucker)
Lineage: Eukaryota; Metazoa; Chordata; Actinopteri; Cypriniformes; Catostomidae
Exons: 6
Source: RefSeq, a predicted model, not a curated record
AGGAAACUUGGUUGCAGUCUGCUGUGAAAAUACACCAGAGUCUGCAUCAGUGCUUUACUGAAGCAGUUAGGAAAUCCUGAAUAUUUUAACUGCUUUGUCAAUAAGACAUUGUGACAGACAACAGAAAAAGUCCUCCUUUUUCUUUUUAAAGUUAAGAGGGCAGAAACAUGCAUUACUCUGUCAUACUGCUUAAAGCCCGAGAGGUGACGCAGAAUGAAACUUUUAUCAACAUUUAACUUGAGCAAUUAUUGUAAAUGUUCAGCAGCAACGAUAUUUUGAGGAUGGACAAGGCUAGGUCAUCAGCUUUUCUGACAUCACUGUUUGUUUAGGUUUGCUAAAACAGUUUCUCAACAUUUCACCAAAGGAAGUGUUUCAAAGCUACUGGGCAAGCUUGUUGACCACAGAACUGUGAAAACAUACUAGUUGACUCAACUAGACAACUCAGAUCUGUCCAGUUUAACUUGUAUGCUAUACUCAUAUCUUAGUAAUGCAGUGAAGGUAAUUUUAGAGGUCCUCCUCAUAUUUGAAAGUCAAAUGUAUAAGAAAAAAAUAAUAAGCGAUAAUUCACAGUUUUUGUGGAAUAUUCAAGAAAUUGCUGAAGAUGGAGACUACAGAGAUGUCUGCUGCCAGAAGAUCUUUCAUUGUGAUGAUUAACAUGAUUGCAUGGAUGGUUUUGAUUCCAGCCACUGGAUUAGGAACGAUCCAUUUUCAUGAGUGUCCUGUUCAACCAUACCUCCCCAUCUAUCUGACUGUGAUUGGGGCAAGUGGUCUGCUUUCACUGCUGCUGUUGUACAUAAGGAAUACUUUGGAUGACUGUCUGCUUGCUCGGUUCUGCUGUGUCUUUAGUCUGAUGCUCUACGUAUUCAUUGUCUGCUGGUUCUUUGCUGGUACCUACUGGAUUUACUCCAUAUAUCCUCCCAACUAUGACCCUAACAGCACUGGAGACCACUGUCAUAGGACCAUGUACCUGUUUGCAUUUUGGUUUAACAAUAUAUGUUUUCUGUGCCUGUCCAUAAUGUUUGCAUUUUGUUUGUAUACCAUCUACAACUGUGCUGUUGAGCUUGAGUCAUAGAAUUUAGUUGCAGACCUGUAGAUUCUUUCCUGUAAUGCUCUAAAAAGAUGCUGUCUUAUUCCUAUUGAUAUAUGAUUUUAUCAUAUAAAUUUGUCACAAGAGAUUUUGUCAUAGUUUUUCAAUAGUUGUUCAAUCAUUAAACUUCUGGAUGUUUUAUUAAAAUAAUGCAUUUAAAUGUGCAAAAAAAUUAAUUGCACUAGCAGAGAAAAGUUUAGACACACAACUAAAUUUAUGUUUAUCGUGAUCUUAACCUUUUCAUCUAGUAACGUUUUUAUUUGUAUUGCACUUUACAAAACACACAUCAUUUCAAAGCAGCAUUACAGAAAAUUAUGCUGUAACAGAAAAUGAAGCUGUAAUGUCUUUAAGGAACAGUUCGCCCAAAAAUGAAAAUUCUCUCAUCAUUUACUCACCCUCAUGCCAUCAUAGAUGUGUAUGACUUUCUUUCUUCUGCAGAACACAAAUGAACAUUUUUAGAAGAAGAUAUCAGCUCUGUACAAUACAAGUGAAUGGGUACAACAAUUUUGACACUCCAAAAAUCAAAUAAAGACAACAUAAAAGUAAUCCAUAUGGCUUCAGUGGUUAAAUACAUACCUUCUGAAGUGAUAUGAUAGGUGUGGGUGAGAAACAGACCAAUAUUUAAGUCAAUAUUUCUUCUCUCUACCCAGUAGGGGGCAUAUGCGUGAAGAAUGUGAAUCACCAAAAACAGAAAAAGAAGAAUGUGAAAGUUAAAGUGCACACUGACUGAGCAGGGAGGAGAAUUUAUAGUUAAAAUGGACUUAAAAAUUGAUCUGUUUCUAACCCACACCUAUCAGAUCACUUCUGGAGACAUUGAAAUUGGAGUGUUAUGGAUUACUUUUAUGCUGAUUUAUGUGAUUUCUGGAGCAUCAAAAGUUUUGGCGCCCAUUCACUUGCAAUGUAUGGACCAAAAGAGCUGAGAAAUUCUUCUAAAGAUCUUCAUUUGUGUUCUGCAGAAGAAAGAUGGUCAUACACAUCUGGGAUGGCAUAAGGGUGAGUAAAUAAUGAGAGAAGUUUGGGUGAACUAUUCCUUUAAAGUCUUCAGUGUGCAGAUGCACAUGAUUGUAGAUUACACCUUAAAAAAAUAUUAAGGCCUAUAUAUACACUGGGGGUGGGAGGGAGUUGACUAAAAAGCAUGAAUGUAAUGCCAAUAUUAGUUAUGUGUAAUACAAGUCACGGUUUAAAUGAGUAAACUGAGCAGAUGUUGGUGGCCAAUAUUUAAACUAAAGGAUUUUGAAUGAAUUGUAAGAUAAAUGACAAAGUCUUUGAAGUCCAUCCCAAAUUGACAGGGGAAAUGCACAUACAUGCGGUGUCCUUUGUUAUUUGUCUGAUGAAGACUUUAGUUGGUAAUUAAUUUAUUGUCUAUGGAUUCCAUUUUAAGAGAAUGUGCAGUCUAAGAUGAUGCAGGCAGUGGUCAGUGAGGGGCAUCGCAUUCUGGCUGGAAGCUUUUGUGGCAGUUCAUUUCCGGUGAAGUCCAUCCUAAGUCCAAGGUACAGGCAGUGGUCAGUCAAGUAUCACAUGUCUUAUAGUUGGAGUUGGCAGCAGUUUAUCCUCUGUGAAGUCCAUCGUAGUAGACUGAAGUGAUGUCUGGCUGGCAUAGCCUGCAGUUAGUUGUCAUCACUCACCGACACGUAGCAGUAGGAGUAGAAUCUAAAGGCUUAUGCUUAAAAUGCUUGAAUCUUUUGUAGACAAGUAUAACGUAUGUCUUUGUAUGAAUUACUCGAUACAAUGCUUAAAAUGUAUUUAUUUAUUCAUUCAUUCAUUCAUUUUAAAAGAAUACGUUGGUCAGAAUGGUGAUGGAAAAGAAACCAACAAGUUCCCAGCAUAUGUGGGAUAGUUGUGAUUUGUUUGAAAAAAAAUGGUCACUCUAUAAUCAAUUACAUAACAUACCUGUACUUCAUAGUUGGAUGACUUCACUGUUAUUCUAAAAUGUGGGAAAUUCAUAAAGAAUUCUAUAGCUCACAAGCUAUAUAUACGGGCCUAAUGACUGUAACGUUAAACACCCUAUCUAAUCUUGCUUUGCUUUUGAGCAUCUUUAUAUAAUUUUUUUUAGAUCGUUUACUCAGCCCUCGCUCCACCCACAAACAUGCGUGAGGUCAGUUGUCCUGUUGCAGCACCUGUCCCAGAAUGCAAUCUGCAUCCCUCAUACUGUACUUGAUGCAUAACAAUAACAUUAUAGUUAUGUGGUAAGGUGUAUUUAAAUUAGUUACAUUAGAUAAAAUUGAGUAGACAAUGGGUUUGUAUGUGUCCGUGAUAUCCUUACUGUCUUUUGAUGCCCUUUUGUCUUUUCCCCAUUAUUUUGUUCUUUUUGAUAACUUCAUAUAUAACUUCACUGGUCAAGUUGCCUAACUGGUGGCAAAAUGCUUGCAGGCACUUGAGAUGGCUUACUGUCCAUAAAGCGGGUUUCCAGUCGGUGCCGCUAUUAUGACGACAGGGGGCGAUAUUAUCACUGGUAGGCUGAUGCACCUGUUAAUUUUUUGUUUGGUUGAAGCGAUAUGAUUACACAGCAUUUCUCAUGAAGGCAGUUCUUGCAUGUCUUAACAACGAAAUAAGACAUGCUAGUAUUGUAGUACAGUUUUCGUUUAGCAUGCAAGGGGAUCCAGGUGAAAAUUCUUAUGUAAUAUACAAGCUGUUUGUAAUAUAACAAGCAACUGAACUUGACAGCUGGUGAUCAGCUUGCAUCACUGUUUAAAUGGACAUUAUGCUUCUGACUUUGACCACCCCCCUCCCUCAUAUGGCUUAGGCUGUAAUGUUGAGAAUGCCUCCUAUGGCCUCACUGUAUGUGCAGAGAGAACUGUGAUACAGAGAGCAGUGGCAGAAGGCUACAGAUGAUUUACAGCCAUAGCCAUCACAUGGUAUGUUGUAUAUUCCAAAAUUGUUACUAACUAACUCAGUGAUAUAUUUUGAUGUUUUGUUUUUAAUAUAUCAAAGGGUUGUUGCAACAAAUGUAGAACAGGAUUCAUUACUUCUACACUGAAAUUUCAAGAGACACAGCUGGAUGUCAAACACACAUUGAGCUACACAUAACACAUAAGCUACACAUAUGUAUUUUCUCAGGAACUUUUGGAUUAUAAAUAGAUGCAAAACUGACAAUUUCAAUAGUAAACCCUAAUGACAAUAGCCAAAUCAAACUGUUUAUGUGUUACACUUGCUAUAGUUUACUUCCAUGUUGCUUCUUCGUCAAAUAGCAAUGUCAAAUGUAAGCCAAGUCAAUCGCUGAAACAACAGCGCCACCUUGAGUAACAAAUAGCCUGUAUAAUAUCUGUGUACACGCAUACAGUAUGUUAAACUGAUAAUUCACCAUUGUUGUGCAGAAAAUCAACCUGAUAUAGUAUUCAUUUGUAUGAAUAUAGUAGUCAUAUAUCUUGUAAUAAACAAAGAAAUAUAUAUCAUGUGAUAGUAAAAUAAUAUAGAAAUGAAAUAAUCAUAAAAAUCUGAUUUAUGGAAGCACAGAAAAGUUACAUUAUUACAUAUAGGGUCUUUAAGACCCUAUACAUUUUAGGAAUUAAGCAGUUUUAUAUAUAUAUAUAUAUAUAUAUAUUAUUUGCAAUUUUGCACAAUUCAGAAGAGAACGGUUGAGGAAUACUAAAGAGGUGUGGACAUAACUAAGUGGGUGAGGUACAGGGUGUGGAAUGAGGUUCCAUGACACUAAAGACCUGAGGUAUGCAUUAAAGGGUUAAAAAGGAUCCAAAUGUAGGAACUUUUUGUCAGUAGGCCUACACACUUUCUGUUAAUGAACACAUUGCAAAUUGCAAAUGUUGUCAGCCAUUGACUGUCUCCUACGAGACACAAAGUUUUCUUCCUGCAGGGGGUGCUUGACAGCUCAGAAAAUCAAAUCCUCCAUCUGCAUUUAAAUCUCAGAAUGUUUUAUGUCUCAUUGGAGAUAUUUUUACUCUGGAUAGAUAUUUUUUAUAAAAACUGGUAAUUGCAAGGAUGUAUACCUGCUCAUAGAAAUCCACCUCUGCAGUAUUUAUAAAAGCAAAAUCUUCAUCCAUAAAUAAUAAACAACUGUGAUUGGUCCAUCCUGGUCUGCACUGAGAAAAGUAACAGAGACCACAGGAAAGUUUCAGUAGCAGUCCAGACCUCUGGACAAUAAUUUACACCUGAUUAAUGAUACUGAAAAACUUUAAUAACCUAUUUAAUAAAUGCCAUCAUGUGGAGCCUGCCUGGACAUGGUUAAUCUGGCCCAGUGCAGAAGCAAUGUUACAAUGUAAUAGUUCCCCUAAAAGUUUUAAUUUCUGCCAUCAUUUACUCACCCUCAUUGUUCAAAACCACUAUUACUUUUUUCAACCGUGAAACACAAGAUUGAGGGAUGAAGUGCUAAGGGAAAGUUUAAACAAGGCUUGAGAAUAGGCAGAAAAAAAAAAAAAAAAAGAAAUUGUGCAUGUUGGUUCUUGCAUGUAUUGUCACCAUUUUUGUUGAAUGUGUGAAAGAGGAUGAGAUUUGAGAACGUGGCGAUCUUCCAUGUGGGAAGUCUUCAGAACCACUGAGCUAACUUAAAUUUUGUUUUUUGCAGCUUUCAAGAAAACAUUUGCUUUAUGUUAAAUAAUUCUUUCAUUUUCAUUUGACUAACAGUGAUAUCAAAGAUAGUUUUGUGGGACUCUGUGAUGCUUGCCGACAAGUUUUAAUGGAGGUAAUUACUUGUUCAUCACAUUUUACCACAUCUUUCUGUCACUACAUUUGUACUUCAUUGCCUUUUGGUCCGUUCAAGUCAUGUCGGAAUGAUUGUAAUCAGAGUAACAGUUUUUUUUUUUUUAUACAGUCUUAUUUUGUGUAUACUGUAUAUUAUGUGAAUAUUGUGUUGUGUAAGUCAGAUGUUUAUUUUAAUUGUCAUACUGCUAUGUUGCUUGGAACCACACCCAAGACUUUCACCCACUGUUGCACUUGUGUAUAUGGUUGAGUGACAAUAAUGGGAUUUUAUUUGAGUUAGGAGCAUGUUUCACUUUUGACUGCAUUUAAUACUGUAUGCCUGUUUUCUUCUGUCAGUGAAGAACAAUGAUAAAGCUUGCCAGAAAAUAAAACUCAUCUAUCUGGUUUGUGAAGCAACAGCCUUGUGCAACAAAAAUAUAUUAAUGUGGCCACAUGAGAAUAAAAUAGAUAAAGCAUUAAUUACACAGCUAAUGCAUGGUGCCACUUCAUUUUGUUGCAUUUAUGCUUAAAAGCUUCCUAUCUUUGACAGUCUGUGUGAAAGUGAGAAAUAUGAAAUUGCAAAACAGAUACAUUCUUUGACUAAAAUCACUCAAACACACGUCACAUUGUAUUUAUGUUCUCCAACCUCCUAAGUAUGAGCUUCCCAGGAGGAAUUGAAUGCACCAUUUCUCUCAUUUUUUCCUUUCCUACCUUCUGAAUUUCUCUCUCCAAUUUCAUGUUGUGUUAGUUUGGUACGUUUAACUGACUAAGCCAGAUGGAACCUCUAAGACCACCAGUCUCAGAGAUCUCUUGCCUUUAGCAAUUACAUCAGCUCAUCUGCAAAAGAACUGAGUGCUCUGUCCAAAAUGUUAUUUGACUAUUCUGAAUAUAUACACAUUUUCUUUUCUUCUAAAUUUAGGAUUGCUGUUACAUGUGAACAAUUAAAAUGUGAUUGGGCAUUUUGCUGUACUUGAGGAAUCUGAAGUGAUUAAUUCAAUUUUAUGUUAAGGAAUCAUAUGGUGGAAUUCUAAUGUUGGACACACAAAUGGCUUUCUUUUUGUCAUAUGUGGAUGUAGACGGUAAACUUGAUGUACUGCUUCAUUUACCAAGAAACAGCACCAUUCAAAAUGACUGUUUACAAUAAAUUACUUAACAGCAAUCAGCUACAGUAAUUAGAUUAGAACUGCAAAGCAGACAGUACCAGGUGUUUUUCAGAGCUAAACAACCAAUAGGCUACAUUGCUCCUUUUAAGUGAUCAACACUGAUCUGUAUGUUCAGGCAGUGUACUGCCGUUAUUUUCUGGCAUACAUUUGUCGUCAUAGCUUGACUUUCAGUUGGACUGGACAGAACAGACAGAAUCUGAUUUAAUGUUUAGGAUAUGUGAUCAGAUUUACAGAAUCUGAUUUGGGCUGUUAGUGUGAACAAGAUUAAAGAGUCUCCUUCUUGCUAAGGCUAUGCUGUGUUGUUGAAGGGCCACGCCGGUCACAAAGUUGUCACAAUCCCCACUAGAGAGCACUGUGCACUCAAACGCUCAACUAACUACCUUAUUUAUACAUGUACAGUAAAUAAGUGUUUGUAUGUGCUAUAAUAUGUACUGUUAAAAAAAUAAAAUGCUGCCCAGA